Molecule: ribosomal RNA, 355 nt
Filed under: uncultured Veillonellaceae bacterium
Lineage: Bacteria; Bacillati; Bacillota; Negativicutes; Veillonellales; Veillonellaceae
Description: bacterial SSU rRNA
Rfam family: Bacterial small subunit ribosomal RNA
Source: RNAcentral
AGUAGUUUGAUCAUGGCUCGAGGACGACGCUGGCGGCGUGCUUAACACAUGCAAGUCGAACGGGGUAGAUUGGAAGCUUGCUUUUGAGAUACCUAGUGGCGAACGGGUGAGUAACGCGUAGGCAACCUACCCCCUGAAUGGGGACAACAUCGCGAAAGCGGUGCUAAUACCGAAUGAAGUCGUAUAACCGCAUGGGGAUGCGACCAAAGAUGGCCUCUGCUUGCAAGCUAUCAUCGGGGGACGGGCCUGCGUCUGAUUAGCUGGUUGGUGAGGUAACGGCCCACCAAGGCGACGAUCAGUAGCCGGUCUGAGAGGAUGGACGGCCACAUUGGGACUGAGACACGGCCCAGACUCC